This 525-nucleotide ribosomal RNA is filed under the name uncultured Comamonas sp. Its description in RNAcentral is "bacterial SSU rRNA". It matches the Rfam family "Bacterial small subunit ribosomal RNA", at positions 386 to 904 of the family's 1533-position model. Lineage: Bacteria; Pseudomonadati; Pseudomonadota; Betaproteobacteria; Burkholderiales; Comamonadaceae. The record is from RNAcentral.
AUCCAGCUAUGCCGCGUGCAGGAUGAAGGCCUUCGGGUUGUAAACUGCUUUUGUACGGAACGAAAAGCCUGGGGCUAAUAUCCCCGGGUCAUGACGGUACCGUAAGAAUAAGCACCGGCUAACUACGUGCCAGCAGCCGCGGUAAUACGUAGGGUGCAAGCGUUAAUCGGAAUUACUGGGCGUAAAGCGUGCGCAGGCGGUUUUGUAAGACAGGGGUGAAAUCCCCGGGCUCAACCUGGGAACUGCCAUUGUGACUGCAAGGCUAGAGUGCGGCAGAGGGGGAUGGAAUUCCGCGUGUAGCAGUGAAAUGCGUAGAUAUGCGGAGGAACACCGAUGGCGAAGGCAAUCCCCUGGGCCUGCACUGACGCUCAUGCACGAAAGCGUGGGGAGCAAACAGGAUUAGAUACCCUGGUAGUCCACGCCCUAAACGAUGUCAACUGGUUGUUGGGUCUUAACUGACUCAGUAACGAAGCUAACGCGUGAAGUUGACCGCCUGGGGAGUACGCCCGCAAGGUUGAAACUCAA